Long non-coding RNA from Dreissena polymorpha, 364 nucleotides. RefSeq lists it as uncharacterized. Lineage: Eukaryota; Metazoa; Mollusca; Bivalvia; Myida; Dreissenidae. The transcript has 3 exons. The record is from RefSeq and is a predicted model, not a curated record.
AAAAACUGGUUUUGUCCGUAUUUUGUAAACGGAAGACUAGAUGCAGUGAUAAAUGAAAUACUACCAUAUUGAAUCAAUGAUUAAGAUACACCCCCCGGAAACCCGAUAUGCUGUGAGAAGUUGGAUGUGCUAGGAGAAGUUGCCGAUAAAUUUCGAUAGGACGCGAAGGGUCUAAAUGGUGUGAAAUGUAACGCAUUUCUCUGAAGUCACAGCAGCAGGGUUUCGCUUGAAUGUGUUCUCAAGAGCUGGGCUACACAUAUUCAAUGAAGCCUUCUGCUGAGCAAAACAGACUGAAUCCUUAAUACUCAACAGCGAACUAAUUUCGGAUCUUUUUAAUUUUCAAUCGAAUGAAAUAUAAAACAUU